CGAGGAGGAGCCUGACGCCGUGGACUCCCAGGAGCGAGCCCGGCUGCCGGCUCCCCAGGCCCUGCUGGCUCGACUGCUGGUGGUGGCAGCAGCUCCUCACAAGAGCGGCGA
Gavia stellata (red-throated loon) is the source of this 111-nucleotide long non-coding RNA. RefSeq lists it as uncharacterized. The record is from RefSeq and is a predicted model, not a curated record. The transcript is spliced from 3 exons. NCBI's taxonomy places the organism in Eukaryota, Metazoa, Chordata, Aves, Gaviiformes, Gaviidae.